Molecule: ribosomal RNA, 497 nt
Filed under: uncultured bacterium
Lineage: Bacteria
Description: partial 16S ribosomal RNA
Rfam family: Bacterial small subunit ribosomal RNA
Source: RNAcentral
GAUGAACGCUGGCGGCGUGCCUAAUACAUGCAAGUCGAGCGAACAGACGAGGAGCUUGCUCCUCUGACGUUAGCGGCGGACGGGUGAGUAACACGUGGAUAACCUACCUAUAAGACUGGGAUAACUUCGGGAAACCGGAGCUAAUACCGGAUAAUAUAUUGAACCGCAUGGUUCAAUAGUGAAAGACGGUUUUGCUGUCACUUAUAGAUGGAUCCGCGCCGCAUUAGCUAGUUGGUAAGGUAACGGCUUACCAAGGCGACGAUGCGUAGCCGACCUGAGAGGGGGCUCGGCCACACUGGAACUGAGACACGGUCCAGACUCCUACGGGAGGCAGAAGUAGGGAAUCUUCCGCAAUGGGCGAAAGGUUGACGGAGCAACGCCGCGUGAGUGAUGAAGGUCUUCGGAUCGUAAAACUCUGUUAUUAGGGAAGAACAAAUGUGUAAGUAACUAUGCACGUCUUGACGGUUCCUAAUCAGAAAGCCACGGCUAACUACGUG